AGGUGACCAACUAUGUGGCAAGUGACCUUGAUGAAAGGAGGUUACUUAUUAGAAAUCCCGCCCUUCAGGAGAUUCUUUGUCUUCCCAGGAGCUUGCCUGGCAUGCCAUUUGGUGAGACAAGAACCCUUGCCCUGCCUCUCAAUUUCUGAAACAAGCUCUGUCCAACACCGCUGUGGAUGCUCUGCCCUCAAGAGGAGGCAAAUGGCCUGUUGGAGAUAUCAAAUCAACAUCAGCAAGCA
This is a long non-coding RNA of Felis catus (domestic cat), 239 nucleotides long. RefSeq lists it as uncharacterized. The record is from RefSeq and is a predicted model, not a curated record. The transcript has 2 exons. Lineage: Eukaryota; Metazoa; Chordata; Mammalia; Carnivora; Felidae.